UACAGAGGGGGCAAGCGUUGUUCGGAAUUACUGGGCGUAAAGCGAGUGUAGGUGGUUGUCCAAGUUGGAUGUGAAAGCCUUGAGCUCAACUCAAGAAAUGCAUUCAGGACUGGGCGGCUAGAGGACCGGAGAGGAUAGUGGAAUUCCCAGUGUAGUGGUGAAAUACGUAGAGAUUGGGAAGAACACCAGUGGCGAAGGCGGCUAUCUGGACGGUUUCUGACACUAAGACUCGAAAGCGUGGGGAGCAAACAGG
This 253-nucleotide ribosomal RNA is filed under the name uncultured bacterium. Its description in RNAcentral is "partial 16S ribosomal RNA". It matches the Rfam family "Bacterial small subunit ribosomal RNA", at positions 524 to 776 of the family's 1533-position model. The record is from RNAcentral.